CGGAACGUAGCGCAGCCUGGUAGCGCACUUGCAUGGGGUGCAAGGGGUCGGAGGUUCAAAUCCUCUCGUUCCGACCA
This 77-nucleotide transfer RNA is filed under the name Alcanivorax sp. Its description in RNAcentral is "tRNA-Pro". It matches the Rfam family "tRNA". From Rfam's summary of the family: Transfer RNA (tRNA) molecules are approximately 80 nucleotides in length. Their secondary structure includes four short double-helical elements and three loops (D, anti-codon, and T loops). Lineage: Bacteria; Pseudomonadati; Pseudomonadota; Gammaproteobacteria; Oceanospirillales; Alcanivoracaceae. RNAcentral also lists the same sequence under 2 other names. The record is from RNAcentral.